Molecule: ribosomal RNA, 433 nt
Filed under: uncultured bacterium
Lineage: Bacteria
Description: partial 16S ribosomal RNA
Rfam family: Bacterial small subunit ribosomal RNA
Source: RNAcentral
AACGAACGCUGGCGGCAUGCCUAACACAUGCAAGUCGAACGAGACCUUCGGGUCUAGUGGCGCACGGGUGCGUAACGCGUGGGAACCUGCCCUUAGGUUCGGAAUAACUCCCCGAAAGGGGUGCUAAUACCGGAUAAUGUCUUCGGACCAAAGAUUUAUCGCCUUUGGAUGGGCCCGCGUUGGAUUAGCUAGUUGGUAGGGUAAAAGCCUACCAAGGCGACGAUCCAUAGCUGGUCUGAGAGGAUGAUCAGCCACACUGGGACUGAGACACGGCCCAGACUCCUGGGGGGGACGCGGAGGGGGAAUAUAGAACAGUGGGCGAAGCUGAUAACCACAAAGGCCGGUAGAAAAAGAAAGUCUUUAGGUUUAAAAAGCUUUUUGACCCGGAAAAAUAAUCACAUAACGGGAAAAAUAGCCGCCGGCUACCCCCGCC